AAUCAACGCUGGCGGCGUGCCUCAGACAUGCAAGUCGAACGCGAAAGGCUCCUUCGGGGGCCGAGUAGAGUGGCGCACGGGUGAGUAACACGUAGGUAAUUUGCCUUUGGGUGGGGAAUAACUCAGGGAAACUUGAGCUAAUACCGCAUAAUGCAGCGGCUCGACAUCGAGACAGUUGUUAAAGCGGGGGAUCGCAAGACCUCGCGCCUGAAGAGAAGCCUGCGGCAGAUUAGCUAGUUGGUAGGUAAUGGCCUACCAAGGCGACGAUCUGUAACCGGCCUGAGAGGGCGGUCGGUCACACUGACACUGACAGUACGGGUCAGACUCCUACGGGAGGCAGCAGUCGGGAAUUUUGGGCAAUGGGCGCAAGCCUGACCCAGCAACGCCGCGU
Molecule: ribosomal RNA, 391 nt
Filed under: uncultured bacterium
Lineage: Bacteria
Description: bacterial SSU rRNA
Rfam family: Bacterial small subunit ribosomal RNA
Source: RNAcentral